RNAcentral lists this ribosomal RNA (225 nucleotides) under uncultured bacterium. RNAcentral's name for it is "partial 16S ribosomal RNA". It matches the Rfam family "Bacterial small subunit ribosomal RNA", at positions 109 to 334 of the family's 1533-position model. The record is from RNAcentral.
AGUAACGCGUGGGUAACCUGCCUUGUACAGGGGGAUAACAGUUGGAAACGGCUGCUAAUACCGCAUAAGCGCACAGCAUCGCAUGAUGCAGUGUGAAAAACUCCGGUGGUAUAAGAUGGACCCGCGUUGGGUUAGCUAGUUGGUGUGGUAACGGCCCACCAAGGCGACGAUCCAUAGCCGACCUGAGAGGGUGACCGGCCACAUUGGGACUGAGACACGGCCCAG